This 253-nucleotide ribosomal RNA is filed under the name Rhodospirillales bacterium. RNAcentral's name for it is "partial 16S ribosomal RNA". It matches the Rfam family "Bacterial small subunit ribosomal RNA", at positions 524 to 776 of the family's 1533-position model. Lineage: Bacteria; Pseudomonadati; Pseudomonadota; Alphaproteobacteria; Rhodospirillales. The record is from RNAcentral. RNAcentral also lists the same sequence under 1 other name.
GACGGAGGGGGCUAGCGUUGUUCGGAAUUACUGGGCGUAAAGCGCACGUAGGCGGCCUUUCAAGUCAGAUGUGAAAGCCCCGAGCUUAACUCGGGAACUGCAUUUGAUACUGUUGGGCUUGAGACCGGGAGAGGAUAGCGGAAUUCCCAGUGUAGAGGUGAAAUUCGUAGAUAUUGGGAAGAACACCAGUGGCGAAGGCGGCUAUCUGGACCGGUACUGACGCUGAGGUGCGAAAGCGUGGGGAGCAAACAGG